UAAAGAAAGAGUUUAAUUUUUGCUCCGACUGAACGUUAUCCAGAGGUCUUAAGGCAUGCAAAUCGUUAUUAAUUUCGGUUAAUAAGGUGUACGGGUGAGUAAUAAUAAAUAAGAUACCCUACAGACUUCGGUAAUAGAGGAUAGUUCUUUUUUUUACACAAAUUAAGAAUAAAGGGACUUCAUUUAUGUUAUCUAAAAAUUUUUUAAAAUAUUUAGAAAUAUAAUUCCUACUGUAGGAUUCUAUUUAUCUUGAAUAGGUAGUUGAUAGGGUAAUGGCCUACCAAGCCUACGAUCAAUAGCCAGCUUGAAAGAGGGAUUGGCCACAUUGGGUCUGAAAUUUACCCAAGUAGUGCAUAACUACCAGCAGCCGAGAAUAUUUGUCAAUGCUCGCAAGAGUGAACAAGCCAACUGGAAUCACAACAACUUGUGAUAAAGUAAGGGAGGAUAAUGACGUUACCUUACUAUUAGUGUCGUCUAAAAUUGGUGCCAGAAGACUCGGUAAUACCAAAUACACAAACGUUAGUCAUCAUAAAUAGGCGUAAAGGGUUUGUAGGCUGCUCAUAAUUAUAUAUUAAGAGCUAGAAUCAAAUAGAGGUCAAUAUCAUACCUAGUGAAAGAAUUAAAUCUGUAAAUAUUAGGGGGAAUACUAGAAGCGAAGGCGAUUUUCCAUUUAAUGAUUGACGCUGAGACACGAAGGUUGGGGCAGGAAAUAGGAUGUGCGACCAGCUAAGCCUUUUUAAGUAUUGCGGAUUAAGUCCGUCUUGUAUUCUAUCUUACACGAGUUCGUCUUGAUAGGCAUUAUU
Molecule: non-coding RNA, 803 nt
Filed under: Rhizoctonia solani 123E
Lineage: Eukaryota; Fungi; Basidiomycota; Agaricomycetes; Cantharellales; Ceratobasidiaceae
Description: Bacterial small subunit ribosomal RNA
Rfam family: Bacterial small subunit ribosomal RNA
Source: Rfam by way of RNAcentral